GAAUGGGGAAAGCAAGGGACACUGGAUUUUAGGAGUUGGUGCUCCCAGCUGCUGGCAGUCACUUCUAUCUAUCACAGUUGCUGGGGCCUAUUUUUGAGGCAUGCUGCUGCCCCCUUGAGGAGGUUGUGUGCACUGCUUCUUGAAGUUCAUUUCACAUCAACUAGGAAAUCCAGAGAUGACUUCCAGCUAAAGCAAGAAGCUUGGCAAUCAGCAAAUCCAGGCAGCUGAUCCCGUUGGCUUUCUUUUUUUAAAACCUAAAAUCUGAAAAC
Molecule: long non-coding RNA, 269 nt
Organism: Gopherus evgoodei (Goodes thornscrub tortoise)
Lineage: Eukaryota; Metazoa; Chordata; Testudines; Testudinidae
Exons: 3
Source: RefSeq, a predicted model, not a curated record